UAGGGAAUCUUCGGCAAUGGGGGGAACCCUGACCGAGCAACGCCGCGUGAGUGAAGAAGGUUUUCGGAUCGUAAAGCUCUGUUGUUAAGGAAGAACGAGUGUGAGAAUGGAAAGUUCAUACUGUGACGGUACUUAACCAGAAAGGGACGGCUAACUACGUGCCAGCAGCCGCGGUAAUACGUAGGUCCCGAGCGUUGUCCGGAUUUAUUGGGCGUAAAGCGAGCGCAGGCGGUUAGAAAAGUCUGAAGUGAAAGGCAGUGGCUCAACCAUUGUAGGCUUUGGAAACUGUUUAACUUGAGUGCAGAAGGGGAGAGUGGAAUUCCAUGUGUAGCGGUGAAAUGCGUAGAUAUAUGGAGGAACACCGGUGGCUAAAGCGGCUCUCUGGUCUGUAACUGACGCUGAGGCUCGAAAGCGUGGGGAGCGAACAGG
RNAcentral lists this ribosomal RNA (429 nucleotides) under Bacteroidota bacterium. RNAcentral describes it as "Bacteroidetes bacterium partial 16S ribosomal RNA". It matches the Rfam family "Bacterial small subunit ribosomal RNA", at positions 355 to 776 of the family's 1533-position model. Lineage: Bacteria; Pseudomonadati; Bacteroidota. The record is from RNAcentral.